Molecule: transfer RNA, 73 nt
Filed under: Phrynosoma platyrhinos (Desert horned lizard)
Lineage: Eukaryota; Metazoa; Chordata; Lepidosauria; Squamata; Phrynosomatidae
Description: tRNA-OTHER
Source: RNAcentral
GAAUAGAGUGGUGUAGUGGUUUGAGUGUUGGACUAUGACUCUGGAGACCAGGGUUCGACUCCCAGCUUAGCCA